ACCCGGCGGGGGUGACCCCAGGGAAAGUGCCACAGAAAGCAAACCGCCUGUUCCUUCCUUUCGGGGAAGAAACCGGCAAGGGUGAAAGGGUGCGGUAAGAGCGCACCGCGCGCGCCGGCAACGGCCGCGGCACGGCAAACCCCACCGGGAGCAAGCCCGAAUAGGGACGGCAGGCUACGCCAGCGCGUUUCCGCGUUGCCGUCCGGGUAGGGCGCAAGAGACGUCCGGUAACGGACGUCCCAGAUGAAUGGCUAUCCCCCUUUCAAGGGGACAGAACCCGGCUUACAGGCCGUCUGGCAUU
RNAcentral lists this RNase P RNA (301 nucleotides) under Alphaproteobacteria bacterium. RNAcentral describes it as "partial RNase P RNA component class A". It matches the Rfam family "Bacterial RNase P class A", at positions 83 to 367 of the family's 367-position model. From Rfam's summary of the family: Ribonuclease P (RNase P) is a ubiquitous endoribonuclease, found in archaea, bacteria and eukarya as well as chloroplasts and mitochondria. Its best characterised activity is the generation of mature 5'-ends of tRNAs by cleaving the 5'-leader elements of precursor-tRNAs. The record is from RNAcentral. Lineage: Bacteria; Pseudomonadati; Pseudomonadota; Alphaproteobacteria.